RNAcentral lists this small RNA (1077 nucleotides) under Homo sapiens (human). RNAcentral describes it as "PPP1R3B divergent transcript (ENSG00000285236.3)". The record is from RNAcentral. Lineage: Eukaryota; Metazoa; Chordata; Mammalia; Primates; Hominidae.
GCUGAGGGAAGAAUCAUGGGAAAGAGAUUGGGAAGGAGAAAGUCACUUGACUCACAGGCCAACUGCUAUGGACUGAAUUGUGUCUUCCCCUCAUUAAUAUGUUGAAACCCUAUCCUCCCUCCAAUGUGAUGGUAUUUGCAGAUGGGGCUUUUGGGAAGUAAUGAAGUUUAGAUGAGGCAUGAGGGCUGGAUGGAUAUGAUCAGAUGAGUGCCCAAAGAAGAGACACCAGAGAGCUAGCUUCUUCUUUCUCUUUCCACCUUUACACACUGAGAAAAGGCCAAGUGAGCACACACCAAGAAGGCAGCCAUCUGCAAACCCAAGGAGAGAGUCCUCACUAGACACCCUGCUGGUACCUUGAUCUUGGACUUCUAGCCUCCAGAACUGUGAGAAAUAAAUUCCUGUUGUUCAAGCUAGUAUUAAUACCUGGUGUUUUGUUAUGGCAGCCUAAGUGACUAAGACACCAACUUAAUUUACUUAGCCAGGGUCAAUCAGUGGUAGGGCCCAGGAUUCUGACCCAGUUCUGCCUAACUCCACAAUUCAUGCUUUUUCUGGAUAUAAACAUCUGCCUUCCCAGUUUCCCUGACUCUUAGAGCCGUGGAGCAGUGUGUGUCAUGUGCUGCACACCCAGGCUGGAACAGCCUGUCUCCAGGAGAAAACGAAUACAGCAGGGAUGACUUCCACCAGCUCCACUUUGCAGCUCUGAGGUGUAUUAAAAAUGACCUGGAAGAAGUCAUGCCACGGGCCAGACCUUAACAUUCCUUUCGGCUUACCCCAGGAUUUCAGACGAAGCUUCACUUUCCUAACCAGUCACAAAUCAGAGAAUUUUUGAUUCCACCUAUGACCUGUGAGCUCCUGCUUCAAGAUAUUCCACCUUUUUUAGGCCAAACCAAUGUAUAACCUCCAAGUGUCGAUUUACACUUUCGACUGUAACUUCUGCUUUCCUGAGAUUUACCCCUGCCUUUAAAAACCCUUGCUUGUAAUCCCUCAGGGAGGCCGUGUAUUUAUUAAUCAUGAGCUGCCCAAUUCUCCUUGCUUGGUGCCCUGCAAAUAAACACCCUCUUUUCUCCCACUGCAAAA